AAUGAACGCUGGCGGCAGGCCUAACACAUGCAAGUCGAACGAGGUAGCAAUACCUAGUGGCGGACGGGUGAGUAACACGUGGGAACGUACCCUUUGCUACGGAAUAGCCCUGGGAAACUGGGAGUAAUACCGUAUGAGCCCGAGAGGGGAAAGAUUUAUCGGCAAAGGAUCGGCCCGCGUUGGAUUAGGUAGUUGGUGGGGUAAUGGCCUACCAAGCCGACGAUCCAUAGCUGGUUUGAGAGGAUGAUCAGCCACACUGGGACUGAGACACGGCCCAGACUCCUACGGGAGGCAGCAGUGGGGAAUCUUAGACAAUGGGGGAAACCCUGAUCUAGCCAUGCCGCGUAAUCGAUGAAGGCCUUAGGGUUGUAAAGAUCUUUCAGGUGGGAAGAUAAUGACUGUACCACCAGAAGAAGCCCCGGCUAACUCCGUGCCAGCAGCCGCGGUAAU
RNAcentral lists this ribosomal RNA (450 nucleotides) under uncultured bacterium. RNAcentral describes it as "bacterial SSU rRNA". It matches the Rfam family "Bacterial small subunit ribosomal RNA", at positions 29 to 524 of the family's 1533-position model. The record is from RNAcentral.